Molecule: non-coding RNA, 28 nt
Filed under: Homo sapiens (human)
Lineage: Eukaryota; Metazoa; Chordata; Mammalia; Primates; Hominidae
Source: RNAcentral
UAAGAAAUAGGAGAUGGUAGGCCUGGCA